GAAGAUAGCAGGACUAAAAGAAGCUGAAAGAUGAGAUGCUGUUGCUAAAGGACACGCCGGACAGAGGGAAGGGAAAUGGCACGAAGAAGCCCGAAGUGGACUACGGACAGAGAAAGGCCAGAGCAGGGAGUCGGAUUACGGCAAAGAUUUAUUUCUACAUGUUAGAAUACAAGAUAUUUUUCUUUUUUGCAUAAGAGGGGCAGAAUAGCUACCCUCAGCAUUUAGAAGCCUCCAUGACAUAGGAAUUUGUUUUUUCUGUUGCUUGAAUAAACUAAGCGCAGUUAAUUGCAGCGCUGUUUUGGGGAGUCUUUUGUCCCGAGGCCCAUCUAUCUACUCUAGAGGACUGGUCUGAGGACCACACCCCCAGCGGCAUCACAGUGUUGGAAGAUAUGGGCAUGAGUGGGUGCACCCAAGACAGUGCCUCUGCUGGAGAGCAGCAUGUUGUGCAACAGAAGAAAACAGGAUUUUGUUUUCCCUUCUCCUGUUCUGGUUAUUGCGGUUGAUCCUGGAGGUGGGAUUUUUUCUGCCCUUUCCUAUCCCUCUCUCCUGUGGCUGCUGUCGAGAAAUGUAGAGCGUGCUCUAGCAGGCAGCCCAGGUGACUCCGAGGCUCGCAGGUAGGCGGGUACCAACGAGUCACCCCUUUACUAUUAAUUAAUAAUUUCUCACACUUACAUAGCACUUUUCUGGACCCUCCACUCACAGUGCUUUACAGGUAAUGGGGACUGCCCUCCUCCACCACUACUAAUUGAAGAGCACGCAGUGCAUGUAUAAACCAUGCUCAGAAGGUUUUAGCCUUUUUUUUUCUUUCAGUUUAUAACCUUUCAGAGGUAUUUACAUUGUGCCAGCAGAGAGUGGGCAAUAAAUACAGAAAUACACUUAUUCAAAACUAUAUAAGUUUGGGCAUUACAGAAUUAGGACUUGGUUUCAUUUCUGAAUUAGAGGAUUCUGAUCUUAAUGGGGGGCAUAAACACCUCCCAGGUUAGCCCGUAUUUACUAAACCUUUCUGACAGUAGAGUGUUCUCCUGUUGAUUGUAUGAAUCAGUCCGCUGUUCAGCCUGGAGGGUCUUCAGUUAGCCCUUGCCUUGUCUCUUACUGGCAGCUAGUUCGUAGUACAGAUCUCUCUGGGUUCAAUGCGAAGUGACCCUUUUAAAGGGACUUGCAGACGACUCCUGCAGCAGCUUCCGGGGAGGAAUUCCCUGGCGUCGGCAAACCUCACCGGUGAGCCUGCAUUUCUGAUUCUGGUCUGAUCUGCUCCGCAGGCAGCACGCCAGCGCCUCCUACAGGCACCAGACUGCGACGGCACCGCCCCCUAGUCCCGUCUCUCCAGGAGGCCCUGCUGGACGAGGAGUGCGCCUUCUACACGUCCUGCGGCCCCGCCCCCCCGCGCCCCGCCCCCAUCCGCCGCUGCGCCAACCCGCUGGCUCGCACCUUCGACUUCGAGGACUCGCUCCAGUUCGAGCCAAUCUCCUCGCCCUCAUCGGCUGAAGAGCAGAGUUUUAUGUAAAUUAUUCUAUGUUGAUGAAUAAAAAGAAGCUGUAUCAUGUCAA
Molecule: non-coding RNA, 1547 nt
Organism: Lepisosteus oculatus (spotted gar)
Lineage: Eukaryota; Metazoa; Chordata; Actinopteri; Semionotiformes; Lepisosteidae
Source: RefSeq, a predicted model, not a curated record